RNAcentral lists this ribosomal RNA (497 nucleotides) under uncultured bacterium. Its description in RNAcentral is "partial 16S ribosomal RNA". It matches the Rfam family "Bacterial small subunit ribosomal RNA", at positions 28 to 507 of the family's 1533-position model. The record is from RNAcentral.
GAUGAACGCUGGCGGCGUGCCUAAUACAUGCAAGUCGAGCGAACGGACGAGAAGCUUGCUUCUCUGAUGUUAGCGGCGGACGGGUGAGUAACACGUGGAUAACCUACCUAUAAGACUGGGAUAACUUCGGGAAACCGUAGCUAAUACCGGAUAAUAUUUUGAACCGCAUGGUUCAAAAGUGAAAGACGGUCUUGCUGUCACUUAUAGAUGGAUCCGCGCUGCAUUAGCUAGUUGGUAAGGUAACGGCUUACCAAGGCAACGAUGCAUAGCCGACCUGAGAGGGGGAUAGGCGAGAGUGGAAGUUCGACACGGUCCAGACUGCGACGGGAGGAAGCAGGCGGGAAGAUUGGAGAAUGGGCGCAAGUCGUAUACAGCGAUAAUGGGUGAGUGAAGAAGGUCUGCGGAGUGGAAAGCCCGUUUGUUGGGAAAGAAAAGAAGCAGACGAAUAACUACGGGCCCUGACGGUAACGAAAGAAUAAGCGACGGCUAACCUCGUG